This 65-nucleotide transfer RNA is filed under the name Philaenus spumarius (meadow spittlebug). RNAcentral's name for it is "tRNA-Ser". The record is from RNAcentral. Lineage: Eukaryota; Metazoa; Arthropoda; Insecta; Hemiptera; Aphrophoridae.
AGUUGAUUAGCUUAUAAAGGGUAUGAUUUGAAAUCAUAAGAUAGAAAAGAAAACUUUAUUAACUU